Molecule: long non-coding RNA, 689 nt
Filed under: Gopherus agassizii (Agassiz's desert tortoise)
Lineage: Eukaryota; Metazoa; Chordata; Testudines; Testudinidae
Description: lncRNA (ENSGAGG00000014422.1)
Source: RNAcentral
CUAGAACGAUUACAAUUAGCUAUCUAUCUUGAUUAUAUUUAAAUGAUUGGGCUGAAUUCCAUUUGAGUUACACCAGUAAUGAAUUCAGACUAUAAUCUUUAUCCCACUGAUCUUUUGCAAGAAUUUAAGUUCAAAGUCACUUUAAAACAUGAUCUAUAAGCUUCUGUCAAAACAAGGUUCCAAAACUGAACCCAGUAUUUUCCAGAACUUAAUCCUUUAAAAGUAAUCUCUGGAAAUUCAGACUUGCUUUGGGCUUGAGUCAAACCUAAAACAAGGAAUAAAGUUGUAUUUCAACCUUCAAAUGAAGCAAGUUGGAAGUAGCUUUUUUGUGCCUUUGUCUCCCCAGCAAGGGUGAUGGACAUUCCUUCCCUAUGAGAACGUUAUGUGAAGUUCAGAAUCCACUGCUAGCAAACGAAGAACAGUGGGGAGAUGAUGGAUUAGAUGAAGAGAACCAUGGUUACCAUGAAGGUUCAUCUCUUGCCAUAGAAAUGGAGACAUAGCGGUUUACAAAUCUGGUGGUACAAAACUCACUCACUCAGCUUCCUUCUCAGGAGCCAGCAUCUUCUCUUUGCACAGACUUCAGAACUGAAGGUCAGGAAGCAAAUGGAUCUUCAGGAUAAGAAAACAUCAUGAAGUAUUAUCUGAUUGGAAUCCUAGACUGAUUGUCCAGAAUACCUGCUGGUCAGAUC